CUAUCUCUCGAAAACCUCGGACUUCAGAGGGCGACAAUUCUGCGGGCGGAGCUUCGGAGGACUUUCCCCUGACACAGUCUUCCGCUGUGGUCUUGUGGAGUAAUGUGGGCGUCUAAGGAACAAUCCCGGCACGUCGCGCCUUGAGUUUUAUUUUAUCUUUUCCGCCCACUCCCCCCACCAGCACGACACUCAUUCAAACAAACACCAAACGCACGCACACACACACGUGCGCACUUACGACAAUAUCAAUACAACGGGAGAAAUUUUUCUAAAGAAUUUUCAUAAGAUCGGCAGUGCCUUCGAUAAAACAAGCAACAGGAUCCGCAACGACGCUGCAAUAGCAAUAAGUAGCAGGAUCAGCAGAAAAUGCCACAAUAUAUUUCGUUAAGCAAAACACGGUUUCCAUGGCGAUGAGCACGUGACAGGAUUUUAAUAAGGCUGGGCGCUUGUUUUUGUUUGAGUUCCUACCCCUACAUAAAAUAGCUAUAAUAUUCAUGUUUAAUUUUUAUCAUCGCUCAUACACAAAAGCUUUCUGUUUACAUUGUGGCGGUUCCAAAUAAGUAAUCGAACAUGAAGUCUGGACAAGGACCCCGGAGCCGGAGCUCUGGCCUUCCUAGUAAAAGUAUAAAAGCUGCUGAAAUAAAUAAAGAUAACCUAAAUGAUAUGGACAGGCUGACGUAAAAGCCAAAUAAAACGCAAAAGUAAGUCGAAGGGAA
Non-coding RNA from Drosophila suzukii, 716 nucleotides. The record is from RefSeq and is a predicted model, not a curated record. Lineage: Eukaryota; Metazoa; Arthropoda; Insecta; Diptera; Drosophilidae.